This 297-nucleotide signal recognition particle RNA is filed under the name Aotus nancymaae (Ma's night monkey). RNAcentral's name for it is "Metazoan signal recognition particle RNA (ENSANAG00000004540.1)". It matches the Rfam family "Metazoan signal recognition particle RNA". From Rfam's summary of the family: The signal recognition particle (SRP) is a universally conserved ribonucleoprotein. Lineage: Eukaryota; Metazoa; Chordata; Mammalia; Primates; Aotidae. The record is from RNAcentral.
GCUGGACAUGGUGGCGCGUGCCUGUAGUCCCAGCUACUUGGGAGGCUGAGGUGGGAGGAUCGCUUGAGCCCAGGAAUUCUGGGCUGUAGUGCACUAUGCCGAUUGGGUGUCUGUACUAAGUUUGGCAUCAAUGUGAUGACCUCCCGGGAGUGGGGGACCACCAGGUUGCCUAAGGAGGGGUGAACCAGUCCAGGUUGGAAACAGCAGGUCAAAACUCUGGUGCUGAUCAAUAGUGGCAUCAUGCCUGUAAAUAGCCACUGCACUCCAGUAUGGGCAACAUAGCGGGCCUCCUCUUUA